GGGGAGGAGCCGGUUUUACCCGGAGGCGCGGGUCCUGUGGUCGGUGCCGCGCCGGUCACCCAGGCCCUGGGACCGCUGCCAGGGAGCGCGGCGGGGCGGCCAGGUGGCCGCGCGGGGUCUCCGAGCCGAUAGAGGCCGAGCGUGGGGAGCCUGCAGGGGUGAUCGGCGUGGCCGCGCACUGGGCCGUAGCGGUCUGAGGGAUCCGGGCUUCUGGGCGCUGAAACAGGUCCCUGGCGGAGGGGCCCAGACCCUGAGCUUGGGCACCCAUGGGCCAGGCAGCUGCCUAGUACUCGCCGCACGCCGGGCAGUGAGGGUCCGCGGCGCUCUGUGGGCCACCUUGUGGAGUCACGGGGCGAUCACUGCCUACCUGGCUGCCGGGAGGAGCCCAGGCCCCAAGCCCGGAGACACACUCACUGUCCCAGAUUCCUUCUGGGACUGGGAGCAGGCCGAGGCCAGAAACUGAAGCGCAGACAGGGAAGUGAGCCUCUUCACCUCCCUUAUGCUGGAGGACAGGGUGAGGGCACAGGAGCAUCUCAGGGCCACAGUGAUCUGGCUUUUCUGCAGGUGAAGCAUGGAGAGCAUUUCAUGAGCAUGAGAAAUCUAGUUAAACUUCUCUUCUUCAGUUGGAUUCUUGUCAAAGUAAUACUUCCAGGCCAGUGUCUUAUGUGCCUUCUUAAACUUCUCCUGAGUGGCAUUGGAUUUCUCCCUCAGGGCAUCAUGAAGUGGCUUCUUUCACCAGUUUCUGCAGCUGGUGAGUAGUGGCUGGUUUAGGACACCACUGCUGGGCCUCUCAGUGGACAUUCUAGAACGUUCUCUCACAGGAGUUCUUAACGGCAGAUUUACUUCGACAGGAAGCAAAAGAGAUGCGAAAGGAGAAAUACUGUCACACAAGCAGUCACAGUUUGAAGCAUGUGAAGGAUUCGACCUGUCCCUGUUGAUUUGAAGAUGAAGAUAACAGUGUAAUGAGGAAAGCAGGUUGCCUUGGAAGCUGAGAGAGGCCUCUGGCUGACACUGGGAAAUAGAGUCACCUGCCCUGCAACACAAGGGGCUGAAUUCAGCCAACAACCUGAAUGAGGUUGAAGGCAUAUUCAUCUCCCAAGCCUCUAGAAGAAAGAAGCCAUGGACACCUGGCUUUUGGCUUUAUGAAACUCAACUCAGCCACACUCUGGGACUUCUGAAUUACAGAACUGUAAGAAAAUGAAUGAGGGUUUCAGCCAUUAUGUUUAUGGUGCAGUGUCAAUGGGGUACUCAUUCAUAG
Molecule: long non-coding RNA, 1258 nt
Filed under: Heterocephalus glaber (naked mole-rat)
Lineage: Eukaryota; Metazoa; Chordata; Mammalia; Rodentia; Bathyergidae
Description: lncRNA (ENSHGLG00100044530.1)
Source: RNAcentral